UACGUAGGGUGCGAGCGUUAAUCGGAAUUACUGGGCGUAAAGCGUGCGCAGGCGGCUUUGCAAGACAGAUGUGAAAGCCCCGGGCUCAACCUGGGAAUGGCAUUUGGGACUGCAAGGCUUGAGUGCGGCAGAGGAGACUGGAAUUCCUGGUGUAGCAGUGAAAUGCGUAGAUAUCAGGAGGAAUACCGAUGGCGAAGGCAGGUCUCUGGGCUGACACUGACGCUCAUGCACGAAAGCGUGGGGAGCAAACAGG
This 253-nucleotide ribosomal RNA is filed under the name uncultured bacterium. RNAcentral's name for it is "partial 16S ribosomal RNA". It matches the Rfam family "Bacterial small subunit ribosomal RNA", at positions 524 to 776 of the family's 1533-position model. The record is from RNAcentral.